CAAAGGAUAAUGAGUUGGCCCUUGAAAUCCUAAAACACCAAGGAAGAUGACAAGGCGCAGGGACAGUACAUAUUCUAGCAGAGGGAUCACUCGUAGGUUCAGCACUGGCGGUCGGAAGAAUAGAAGGUGCAAGUCGGGCGCCGAGAUGCCAAUAAAAAAGAGGAAAGGGUAUGUACGUGUCUGUGCCACAUACUACUACUGGAGAGGAAGAAAAUAAUUUCCAAUGAUUACCUUCCCACUGCUUGGAAAUUCCAUCUUUGGUGCCAGUGAAUCACAUGCCAGCAGGAAUCUUGCACACCAUGGCAACCCAUCAGAUAAGUCAUCAAUGGGCUGAGGGAAGACUGCAAGUUUCAAGAGCUCUCCUAUUGCACGAGCAAUGCUGGCCCUGCCUGCCUGCCUGCCUGCCUGCCUGUCUGUCAGUAAACUUAUGAAAAAGCA
Varanus komodoensis (Komodo dragon) is the source of this 438-nucleotide long non-coding RNA. RefSeq lists it as uncharacterized. The record is from RefSeq and is a predicted model, not a curated record. Lineage: Eukaryota; Metazoa; Chordata; Lepidosauria; Squamata; Varanidae. The transcript has 2 exons.